ACGCUCGACACCUACGGGAGGCAGCAGUUAGGAAUAUUGGGCAAUGGAGGGAACUCUGACCCAGCAACGCCGCGUGAAGGAAGAAGGUUUUCGGACUGUAAACUUCUGAUCUAAGGGAAAAAGAAGUGAUGGUACCUUAGGAGAAAGCCACGGCUAACUACGUGCUAGCGGCCGCGUAAUCUGAGCGGGCUGGCAAGGC
This 199-nucleotide ribosomal RNA is filed under the name uncultured bacterium. Its description in RNAcentral is "partial 16S ribosomal RNA". It matches the Rfam family "Bacterial small subunit ribosomal RNA", at positions 328 to 539 of the family's 1533-position model. The record is from RNAcentral.